This 236-nucleotide ribosomal RNA is filed under the name Vibrio rotiferianus CAIM 577 = LMG 21460. Its description in RNAcentral is "partial 16S ribosomal RNA". It matches the Rfam family "Bacterial small subunit ribosomal RNA", at positions 1 to 226 of the family's 1533-position model. The record is from RNAcentral. Lineage: Bacteria; Pseudomonadati; Pseudomonadota; Gammaproteobacteria; Vibrionales; Vibrionaceae.
AAAUUGAAGAGUUUGAUCAUGGCUCAGAUUGAACGCUGGCGGCAGGCCUAACACAUGCAAGUCGAGCGGAAACGAGUUAUCUGAACCUUCGGGGAACGAUAACGGCGUCGAGCGGCGGACGGGUGAGUAAUGCCUAGGAAAUUGCCCUGAUGUGGGGGAUAACCAUUGGAAACGAUGGCUAAUACAUAAUGCCUACGGGCCAAAGAGGGGGACCUUCGGGCCUCUCGCGUCAGGAU